UACGGAGGGUGCAAGCGUUGUUCGGAAUCACUGGGCGUAAAGGGCGCGUAGGCGGCUCAUGAAGGCUGUGGUGAAAGUCCGGGGCUCAACCUCGGAUCGGCCGUGGCGACUCGUGGGCUGGAGGACUGUAGGGGCGGGUGGAAUUCCGGGUGUAGCGGUGGAAUGCGUAGAGAUCCGGAGGAACACCAGUGGCGAAGGCGGCCCGCUGGGCAGUGGCUGACGCUGAGGCGCGACAGCGUGGGGAGCAAACAGG
This 253-nucleotide ribosomal RNA is filed under the name uncultured bacterium. Its description in RNAcentral is "partial 16S ribosomal RNA". It matches the Rfam family "Bacterial small subunit ribosomal RNA", at positions 524 to 776 of the family's 1533-position model. The record is from RNAcentral.